RNAcentral lists this ribosomal RNA (305 nucleotides) under uncultured bacterium. RNAcentral describes it as "bacterial SSU rRNA". It matches the Rfam family "Bacterial small subunit ribosomal RNA", at positions 28 to 334 of the family's 1533-position model. The record is from RNAcentral.
GACGAACGCUGGCGGCGUGCUUAACACAUGCAAGUCGAACGGAGUUACGUUUUCGGAUGUAACUUAGUGGCGAACGGGUGAGUAACGCGUGAGGAACCUGCCUUUCAGUGGGGGACAACAGUUGGAAGCGACUGCUAAUACCGCAUAAAACUAUUGAGUGGCAUCACUUGAUAGUCAAAGAUUUAUUGCUGAAAGAUGGCCUCGCGUCUGAUUAGCUGGUUGGUGGGGUAACGGCUCACCAUGGCGAUGAUGCGUAGCCGACCUGAGAGGGUGAUCGGCCACAUUGGGACUGAGACACGGCCCAA